This 359-nucleotide long non-coding RNA is filed under the name Trifolium pratense (red clover). RNAcentral's name for it is "long non-coding RNA (TPRA_LNC008353)". The record is from RNAcentral. Lineage: Eukaryota; Viridiplantae; Streptophyta; Magnoliopsida; Fabales; Fabaceae.
AGAUUGAAACAGUUGAUCAUACAAUUUUUUUUAAUUGUAAACAAACAUUAAGAAAAUAAAAAAAAUAAAAAAUACAUAUGAUCAAUCUCAAGAUUCAACAAUAAAAUUUUAGAUAAAUGUCUUCAUUUUUUCCACCGACAUAACCACCAACUUUUAUAUGAUCACCCACUUCAAGUCUCCUUGAAGCAACAAAUGUCGCCACCGAUCUUAAAAUGCUUAUAUGGAAAAUAGUCAUAUAUCACCACACAGUUCCACAUGUUUCCACAAUCAACUAAAUUAACUGUGGUUGAUGUUUUAUCCAAAGCCUUCUCACCAAACUUUUCAUACGGCAGGAUCUAUAAAAUGAUAAAUUGUAUUAG